RNAcentral lists this ribosomal RNA (252 nucleotides) under uncultured bacterium. Its description in RNAcentral is "partial 16S ribosomal RNA". It matches the Rfam family "Bacterial small subunit ribosomal RNA", at positions 524 to 775 of the family's 1533-position model. The record is from RNAcentral.
UACAGAGGGUGCGAGCGUCAAUCGGAAUUACUGGGCGUAAAGGGUGCGUAGGUGGCUACGUAAGUUAGGUGUGAAAUUCCUGGGCUCAACCUGGGAACUGCGCCUGAUACUGCGUGACUAGAGUACUGUAGAGGAAGGUGGAAUUUCCAGUGUAGCGGUGAAAUGCGUAGAUAUUGGAAGGAACAUCGGUGGCGAAGGCGACCUUCUGGACAGAUACUGACACUGAGGCACGAAAGCAUGGGGAGCAAACAG